GACGAACGCUGGCGGCGUGCUUAACACAUGCAAGUCGAACGGAAAGGCCCUGCUUUUGUGGGGUGCUCGAGUGGCGAACGGGUGAGUAACACGUGAGUAACCUGCCCUUGACUUUGGGAUAACUUCAGGAAACUGGGGCUAAUACCGGAUAGGAGCUCCUGCUGCAUGGUGGGGGUUGGAAAGUUUCGGCGGUUGGGGAUGGACUCGCGGCUUAUCAGCUUGUUGGUGGGGUAGUGGCUUACCAAGGCUUUGACGGGUAGCCGGCCUGAGAGGGUGACCGGCGACAUUGGGACUGAGAUACGGCCCAGACUCCUACGGGAGGCAGCAGUGGGGAAUAUUGCACAAUGGGGGGAAGCCUGAUGCAGCAACGCCGCGUGCGGGAUGACGGCCUUCGGGUUGUAAACCGCUUUCGCCUGUGACGAAGCGUGAGUGACGGUAAUGGGUAAAGAAGCACCGGCUAACUACGUG
RNAcentral lists this ribosomal RNA (468 nucleotides) under uncultured bacterium. RNAcentral's name for it is "partial 16S ribosomal RNA". It matches the Rfam family "Bacterial small subunit ribosomal RNA", at positions 28 to 507 of the family's 1533-position model. The record is from RNAcentral.